GUAGUCAUAUGCUUGUCUCAAAGAUUAAGCCAUGCAUGUCUAAGUAUAAGCAAUUAUACCGUGAAACUGCGAAUGGCUCAUUAAAUCAGUUAUCGUUUAUUUGAUAGUACCUUACUACUUGGAUAACCGUGGUAAUUCUAGAGCUAAUACAUGCUGAAAACCCCAACUUCGGAAGGGGUGUAUUUAUUAGAUAAAAAACCAAUGCCCUUCGGGGCUCCUUGGUGAUUCAUAAUAACUUCUCAGAUCGCAUGGCCUUGCGCCGGCGACGGUUCAUUCAAAUUUCUGCCCUAUCAACUUUCGAUGGUAAGGUAUUGGCUUACCGUGGUUUCAACGGGUAACGGGGAAUUAGGGUUCGAUUCCGGAGAGGGUGCCUGAGAAACGGCUACCACAUCCAAGGAAGGCAGCAGGCGCGCAAAUUACCCAAUCCCGACACGGGGAGGUAGUGACAAUAAAUACUGAUACAGGGCUCUUUUGGGUCUUGUAAUUGGAAUGAGUACAAUUUAAACCUCUUAACGAGGAACAAUUGGGGGGCAAGUCUGGUGCCAGCAGCC
RNAcentral lists this ribosomal RNA (551 nucleotides) under uncultured eukaryote. RNAcentral's name for it is "SSU rRNA". It matches the Rfam family "Eukaryotic small subunit ribosomal RNA", at positions 20 to 575 of the family's 1831-position model. The record is from RNAcentral.